This 492-nucleotide ribosomal RNA is filed under the name uncultured bacterium. RNAcentral describes it as "partial 16S ribosomal RNA". It matches the Rfam family "Bacterial small subunit ribosomal RNA", at positions 29 to 507 of the family's 1533-position model. The record is from RNAcentral.
AGUGAACGCUGGCGGUAGGCCUAACACAUGCAAGUCGAACGGCAGCACAGUAAGAGCUUGCUCUUACGGGUGGCGAGUGGCGGACGGGUGAGGAAUACAUCGGAAUCUACUUUUUCGUGGGGGAUAACGUAGGGAAACUUACGCUAAUAUCGCAUACGACCUACGGGUGAAAGCAGGGGAUCUUCGGACCUUGCGCGAUUGAAUGAGCCGAUGUCGGAUUAGCUAGUUGGCGGGGUAAAGGCCCACCAAGGCGACGAUCCGUAGCUGGUCUGAGAGGAUGAUCAGCCACACUGGAACUGAGACACGGUCCAGACUCCUACGGGAGGCAGCAGUGGGGAAUAUUGGACAAUGGGCGCAAGCCUGAUCCAGCCAGCCCGCGUGGGUGAAGAAGGCCUUCGGGUUGUAAAGCCCUUUUGUUGGGAAAGAAAAGCAGCAGGUUAAUACCCCGCUGUUCUGACGGUACCCAAAGAAUAAGCACCGGCUAACUUCGUG